This 677-nucleotide long non-coding RNA is filed under the name Homo sapiens (human). RNAcentral describes it as "non-protein coding lnc-TLK1-7:2". The record is from RNAcentral. Lineage: Eukaryota; Metazoa; Chordata; Mammalia; Primates; Hominidae.
UGUCGUCGUGUCCAAGGGUUGGUUCCCACCUUGCACCCUGAGCUGAGGGGAUAGGCUUCAGCCACCCUCGACCCUGAACUGGAAUAAUUAGGUACUGCUUAGGAUGAAUAUGAUUUGGAGAAAUUCCAUUUCUUGUCUAAGGCUAGGAAAGGUGCCACACAGAUACCAAAGUGGUUACCACCCAGUGGCCCCUCUGGGAUCAAGGAUUUUAACUGACCCAGCCAAAGUUUUUGAACACAACAUGUGUUAAGUAUGAGAGAGAAGCUAGUAAAUACUGGGACACAUUUUACAAGAUUCAUAAGAAUAAGUUUUUCAAGGAUCGUAAUUGGCUGUUGAGGGAAUUUCCUGAAAUUCUUCCAGUUGAUCAAAAACCUGAAGAGAAGGCGAGAGAAUCAUCAUGGGAUCAUGUAAAAACUAGUGCUACAAAUCGUUUCUCAAGAAUGCACUGUCCUACUGUGCCUGAUGAAAAAAAUCAUUAUGAGAAAAGUUCUGGUUCUUCAGAAGGUCAAAGCAAAACAGAAUCUGAUUUUUCCAACCUAGACUCUGAAAAACACAAAAAAGGACCUAUGGAGACUGGAUUGUUUCCUGGUAGCAAUGCCACUUUCAGGAUACUAGAGGAACUCUCCGGAGUCCUUUCUGUAUUGUUGUGAUUUUGCUUCUGGAGCUGUGGAGCUCGU